This 300-nucleotide ribosomal RNA is filed under the name uncultured Pseudomonadota bacterium. RNAcentral's name for it is "bacterial SSU rRNA". It matches the Rfam family "Bacterial small subunit ribosomal RNA", at positions 29 to 351 of the family's 1533-position model. The record is from RNAcentral. Lineage: Bacteria; Pseudomonadati; Pseudomonadota.
AACGAACGCUGGCGGCAGGCUUAACACAUGCAAGUCGAACGCUCGAACUUCGGUUCGGGAGUGGCAGACGGGUGAGUAACGCGUGGGAACAUACCCUUCGGUUCGGAAUAACUCAGGGAAACUUGAGCUAAUACCGGAUACGUCCGAGAGGAGAAAGGUUUAUAUGCCGAAGGAUUGGCCCGCGUCCGAUUAGCUAGUUGGUGAGGUAAUUGCUCACCAAGGCGACGAUCGGUAGCUGGUCUGAGAGGAUGAUCAGCCACACUGGGACUGAGACACGGCCCAGACUCCUACGGGAGGCUG